ACGGAAGGCAGCAGUGGGGAAUAUUGCACAAUGGGGGGAACCCUGAUGCAGCGAUGCCGCGUGGAGGAAGAAGGUUUUCGGAUUGUAAACUCCUGUCUUAAAGGACGAUAAUGACGGUACUUUAGGAGGAAGCUCCGGCUAACUACGUGCCAGCAGCCGCGGUAAUACGUAGGGAGCGAGCGUUGUCCGGAAUUACUGGGUGUAAAGGGAGCGUAGGCGGGAUUGCAAGUCAGAUGUGAAAACUAUGGGCUUAACCCAUAGACUGCAUUUGAAACUGUAGUUCUUGAGUGGAGUAGAGGUAAGCGGAAUUCCUGGUGUAGCGGUGAAAUGCGUAGAUAUCAGGAGGAACACCGGUGGCGAAGGCGGCUUACUGGGCUUUUACUGACGCUGAGGCUCGAAAGCGUGGGGAGCAAACAGGAUUAGAUACCCUGGUA
Molecule: ribosomal RNA, 434 nt
Filed under: uncultured Ruminococcus sp.
Lineage: Bacteria; Bacillati; Bacillota; Clostridia; Eubacteriales; Oscillospiraceae
Description: bacterial SSU rRNA
Rfam family: Bacterial small subunit ribosomal RNA
Source: RNAcentral